GGGCGGGGCUUCCCUCCGCUCCGUGCUGUCCUUUCCCCUGCGGCCUCUGCUCUGGCGGGAGUACCCCGGCCGAGCUCCCAGACACGUGCGGGAUGACUUGAAAGUAGGGCAUCAUUGGCCCUCCUGAAGAGAGGAAAUUAGUGGCUGGUGAACAGUCAGUAUGGCAUUCUCAGAUGCCUUUACCUGAGAGAGAAAUCUGCCUCCAUCAGGACCUCAGAUGUCUGACAGCCCUAUGUGACACCAGGAUAGGUAAUAUAGUCCCUUUUGUUGGGAUAUUCCUGUAAAUAAACUGCAGGACGCGUGGUGCUUUGCAACACUGACAACAUUUACUACGUGUUGAUGAUGUGCCAGAAUUGUAAACACAUUCUACAUAUCUUAAUCCUCUCAUCAGGCCUACAAGAGAAAGAAUGUGGUGGGAAGCGGGAGAGAGAGAAUCUUAAGCAGGCUCCAGGCCCCUGCAGAUCCCAAUGUUGGACUCUAUCUCACCAGCCUGAGAUCAUGACCUGAAUGAAGAGUCGGACCUUCAACCUAAUGAUCCAACCAGGUGCUCCAAAGAUUACUUUUUUAAAGGUUGGGGUAGAGUAGGGUUCCAUGCAUAGUAGUACAACUGCUAAAUUAAGGGCAUAAAGAUAAACAAACUUGUUACAAAUAAUACAACACAGAAAAGUUAUUCCAAGAUUAUUUCAACAAUAUAUCGAGAAUAAUCUCCCUACAUGCUAAAAUAGCAUUUGUUAAAACUGCUGAGGAUCAACAUUCCUAACCUAUUAAAAGUGUCUUACCCAAAAGGCUGUGUGAUGCUUAAUGAGGAAACCCUAGAAAUGAUCCCAUUAAAAAAAGAGAAAAGAGGGGCACCUGGGUGGUUCAGUUUUUAAUCAUCUGCCUUUGGCUCAGGUCAUGAUCCCAGGGUCCUGGGAGGAGCCUGCUUCUCCUUCUCCCACUUGCCCUGCUUGUGUCUCUCUGUCCAAUAAAUACAUAAAAUCUUUAAAAAAAAGAAAAAGAAAAGAGCUUUGUUCAAAGUUACUACCAAAGGUAGUUAGAUAAAAUCACUCAUAGAUGGUAAGUUUACUUGGAAAUAUAUCUAUGGGUAUCAACUGAAAGUGAUCCAUUGAAGUAACAAAUAAUGGGUUUGAAGAUAACUUGGAAGGAAUAAUUAGACAGAUGUACAGAGGUUACAGAUGAAGAAAACAUUAAAAUACUGACAGACACAAAUGAGACCUUCAGUGGUAAAUCAUACCAUGUCCAAGAAAUUUCAACAUAAAGAUAAAUCUCCUAAAGAAAACUGUAAGUUUAUAAAAAUUCCAAUAAAAGUAACAGGAUUAAUUUUAUAACUACAUAAGAUGAUUAUAACAUUCACAUGGAAAAAUAAGAAUAAUCAUAAUAUUGUGAGAAAUUAGAAUCAUAAAGGAUAACUAGCCCUACCAGAUGUUAAAACGUUACAAAAAGAGUAAAGUGUUGAUACUGGCAAACGAAUAGCUUACUCAAUGAAUAGAACAGAUAAAAGGAAAUCCAGAAAUAGACUCUGAAUGAUGUUUAAAAAGUACAAUAAGAAAGCAUGGUUUUUCCUUUAAUUGUGUAAUAGAGUACCUUUGCCUUCCAAGUUUAAAAAAAAAAAAAAUGAGGAGUACUUAAAAGGAAGGAAUUAUGUGACUAGAUUUUCAAACUUCUGUAUGGAAGGGCUGGCUCCGUCAGCAGAGCACACAACUUUUUUUCAGGCUCAUGAGUUCAAGCCCCACACUGGGCAUAGAGAUUACUAUUAAAGUAUUAAAAAGGUAAAUAAAUCUUCAUUAAGUGUAUCACUAUGUAACAAAACCCUUAAAACUUAGUGGUUCAAACAAGUAUUAAAAUUCUUCCAGUUGAUAGGGCUCAGCUGGGUGGUUGUGUUCUACAUGGACUCAGCUAGAGCUCUGGCUGUUGGGAGUCUUCACUCAGUAGGAGCUAUAGACUUGACGUACUUUGGUUCUUUCAGUGUGACCUCUUAAUAGUGGUUGGGUAUCUCACAUGGCAAGUGGGUUCCAAGUGGGUAAAAAAAAUCUUAAAAUUUUCUCUCUUCUGUGGAAAAAAAAAGUCACUUCUGCGUUCUGUUGGUCAAAGCCAUUUAUAAGACCCUUCUAGACGCAGGCAGAGUGGAAAUUGAUUCCACUAUGAGAAGCAUGGCAAAGAAUUUGUGGCCAUCUUUAGUAAACCACAAGCAUAUACAUAUACACAUACAAAGUAUUUCUUUAUAGAAAAUCCUUAGAAUACAAAAGAAAUGAUUGGUAAGUGGGUUACCUUUAAGUUGGGGAAAACUUGUGUUCUUUGAAUUUUAUUAUAUGUAUUAUCUACUCAAAAAUUCCUUCCUAAACCCCCUCUUGCCUGCCUGCCCUCCCUGCUGUGCCAUUGCUAAAAGAGCCAUUGGUUAACAGUUCUCUAUUUUUAAAUAGCUUAAAUUAUAGGGAUGACCUGGUUUCAGGGCAUUAAAUCUGUUAAAAAAAAAUAAGUAGAUGGUGGACUGCCAAGAGAUUCUGAGACUACAGCUCUGGUAAAGGCAGUAUCAUAAAAUGCUCAAAAGCUCUGUGUUUGGACUGAUACAGAACUGGGUUCAGAUCCUGGCUUUUGUCACUGUUUAGCUGCAUCACCUGCAAGCUUCUUAAUCUCUUACAUAAAACAGGAAUAAUGGUACCUUAUCCUCAAAAUUAUGAUAAUAAUUAGAAAGCAUUAUCAGCUGCCUAAUGAUUGUGUGGUAUCAGAAUAUAUGUCCUCAAUAUGUCUCCUGUGCAAAACUGUAAAAGGUCUUCAUUAUCAGCUCAAAUCCAAACUCUUUCCUGGUGUUUAAAGUCUUCCAUAACAUAGCUGUACCAAGCUGUCACUUAGACCUUCCAAAGUCUUAGCAGAAAUUCUUGCUUUAUAGCCACAUUCUUCACCAUCCCUGGUGCACAACUCACCUACUCCCAAGUCACCCAAAACAGUAUAGAGCUUUUGAUUCAUCUCUACUCCAGCCAGACGCACCUUGAGGCCAGACUCCUUGUCCAUUCGCCAUCAGACUACGAUCCUCAAGAGUUGGCAAUUGGUCAUUGAAUCCCUACCCUUGUACUGUGUCCCUCAUGAAAUAGGCAUUUGAUGACUGAAAUCUUGUAUUAAGUUUGUUUUCCAAUGUGUCUUUUUGCUGAUGAGCCACUAAGCAGAUCCUCAAUAAAUAAUUACUCAAUGAUAAA
Mustela lutreola (European mink) is the source of this 3191-nucleotide long non-coding RNA. RefSeq lists it as uncharacterized. The transcript has 5 exons. Lineage: Eukaryota; Metazoa; Chordata; Mammalia; Carnivora; Mustelidae. The record is from RefSeq and is a predicted model, not a curated record.